AUACGGAGGGUGCAAGCGUUAAUCGGAAUUACUGGGCGUAAAGGGCGCGUAGGUGGUUAGGUCAGUCGGAUGUGAAAGCCCCGGGCUCAACCUGGGAAUGCCAUUCGAUACUGCCUAAAUAGAGUGUGGUAGAGGGAAGCGGAAUUCCGGGUGUAGCGGUGAAAUGCGUAGAUAUCCGGAGGAACACCAGUGGCGAAGGCGGCUUCCUGGAUCAACACUGACACUGAGGCGCGAAAGCGUGGGGAGCAAACAGGAUUAGAAACCCCGGUAGUCC
RNAcentral lists this ribosomal RNA (274 nucleotides) under uncultured bacterium. RNAcentral's name for it is "partial 16S ribosomal RNA". It matches the Rfam family "Bacterial small subunit ribosomal RNA", at positions 523 to 796 of the family's 1533-position model. The record is from RNAcentral.